UAUCUCUGUAGAGUCUGCAUAUCAAUAAGCGGAGGAAAAGAAACUAACUAAGGAUUCCCCUCAGUAACGGCGAGUGAAGCGGGAAGAGCUCAAAUUUGAAAUCUUCAAGGUUUGACCUUGACGAAUUGUAGUUUAAAGAAGUGUUUUCGGUUAGAGGAGUAGUAAAAGUUCUUUGGAAUAGGACAUCAUAGAGGGUGAGAAUCCCGUAUUUGACUAUUCUUUCUAGCUUUGUGAUACACUUUCAAAGAGUCGGAUUGUUUGGGAAUGCAGUCCAAAAUGGGUGGUAAAUUUCAUCUAAAGCUAAAUAUUGGCGAGAGACCGAUAGCGAACAAGUACCGUGAGGGAAAGAUGAAAAGAACUUUGAAAAGAGAGUUAAACAGUACGUGAAAUUGUCAAAAGGGAAGCGUUUGACACCAGUGUUGUUUUUCCGAAAAUCAAUUAAAAAUUGAUUCAUGCCAGGUUGUAUUGACCUUAUCAGCUUGCAAUUUGGUUUUGGGUCUCUUUUUGAUGCACUUUUCGGUUAACAAGUCAACAUCAAUUUCCUUUGCUGUAAAAAGGUAAGAGGAAGGUGGCUUCAAUUUCGGUUGAAGUGUUUAUAGCCUUUUAUCUCUGCAGUCGGGGAGAUUGAGGUCUGCAGCGUAGAUCCUUCGGGGCUAGAUACAUUUAUGCUAAGUUAUAGCUUUUCAUAGACAACUUGUUGACUAUGUUUAGUCAUGUAGCUUACUCGUAAGUGCUAUUUUACCUACGCUUAGGAUGUUGAAGACUCUACAGAGAUA
RNAcentral lists this ribosomal RNA (776 nucleotides) under uncultured Neocallimastigales. RNAcentral's name for it is "partial large subunit ribosomal RNA". It matches the Rfam family "Eukaryotic large subunit ribosomal RNA", at positions 24 to 642 of the family's 3401-position model. The record is from RNAcentral. Lineage: Eukaryota; Fungi; Neocallimastigomycota; Neocallimastigomycetes; Neocallimastigales.